UGGGUAUUUGGGUUCUGGUGGCUUCGGUUAAAAGUAGCAAUUGAUUGCGUACGAUCCUUUAUUGCGAAGUAUUGAAAGUUUAUCUUUAUCAGAUUUCUUGAAAACUAGUUUGGCAAUCGUUUGGGAUUUCUUUAAUCCUUCAGCUGUUUUGAGUUGAUAAUUUGCAAAGAUGACCAUUGACAAUCUUGCGCCAAGGGAGGAG
Molecule: unclassified non-coding RNA, 202 nt
Filed under: Hevea brasiliensis (rubber tree)
Lineage: Eukaryota; Viridiplantae; Streptophyta; Magnoliopsida; Malpighiales; Euphorbiaceae
Source: RNAcentral